UUAAGCGACUAAGCGUACACGGUGGAUGCCCUGGCAGUCAGAGGCGAUGAAGGACGUGCUAAUCUGCGAUAAGCGUCGGUGAGGUGAUAUGAACCGUUAUAACCGGCGAUUUCCGAAUGGGGAAACCCAGUGUGUUUCGACACACUAUCAUUAACUGAAUCCAUAGGUUAAUGAGGCGAACCGGGGGAACUGAAACAUCUAAGUACCCCGAGGAAAAGAAAUCAACCGAGAUUCCCCCAGUAGCGGCGAGCGAACGGGGAGGAGCCCAGAGCCUGAAUCAGUGUGUGUGUUAGUGGAAGCGUCUGGAAAGGCGCGCGAUACAGGGUGACAGCCCCGUACACAAAAAUGCACAUAUUGUGAGCUCGAUGAGUAGGGCGGGACACGUGGUAUCCUGUCUGAAUAUGGGGGGACCAUCCUCCAAGGCUAAAUACUCCUGACUGACCGAUAGUGAACCAGUACCGUGAGGGAAAGGCGAAAAGAACCCCGGCGAGGGGAGUGAAAAAGAACCUGAAACCGUGUACGUACAAGCAGUGGGAGCCUCUUAAUGGGGUGACUGCGUACCUUUUGUAUAAUGGGUCAGCGACUUAUAUUCUGUAGCAAGGUUAACCGAAUAGGGGAGCCGAAGGGAAACCGAGUCUUAACUGGGCGCUAAGUUGCAGGGUAUAGACCCGAAACCCGGUGAUCUAGCCAUGGGCAGGUUGAAGGUUGGGUAACACUAACUGGAGGACCGAACCGACUAAUGUUGAAAAAUUAGCGGAUGACUUGUGGCUGGGGGUGAAAGGCCAAUCAAACCGGGAGAUAGCUGGUUCUCCCCGAAAGCUAUUUAGGUAGCGCCUCGUGAAUUCAUCUCCGGGGGUAGAGCACUGUUUCGGCAAGGGGGUCAUCCCGACUUACCAACCCGAUGCAAACUGCGAAUACCGGAGAAUGUUAUCACGGGAGACACACGGCGGGUGCUAACGUCCGUCGUGAAGAGGGAAACAACCCAGACCGCCAGCUAAGGUCCCAAAGUCAUGGUUAAGUGGGAAACGAUGUGGGAAGGCCCAGACAGCCAGGAUGUUGGCUUAGAAGCAGCCAUCAUUUAAAGAAAGCGUAAUAGCUCACUGGUCGAGUCGGCCUGCGCGGAAGAUGUAACGGGGCUAAACCAUGCACCGAAGCUGCGGCAGCGACACUAUGUGUUGUUGGGUAGGGGAGCGUUCUGUAAGCCUGUGAAGGUGGCCUGUGAGGGUUGCUGGAGGUAUCAGAAGUGCGAAUGCUGACAUAAGUAACGAUAAAGCGGGUGAAAAGCCCGCUCGCCGGAAGACCAAGGGUUCCUGUCCAACGUUAAUCGGGGCAGGGUGAGUCGACCCCUAAGGCGAGGCCGAAAGGCGUAGUCGAUGGGAAACAGGUUAAUAUUCCUGUACUUGGUGUUACUGCGAAGGGGGGACGGAGAAGGCUAUGUUGGCCGGGCGACGGUUGUCCCGGUUUAAGCGUGUAGGCUGGUUUUCCAGGCAAAUCCGGAAAACCAAGGCUGAGGCGUGAUGACGAGGCACUACGGUGCUGAAGCGACAAAUGCCCUGCUUCCAGGAAAAGCCUCUAAGCAUCAGGUAACAUCAAAUCGUACCCCAAACCGACACAGGUGGUCAGGUAGAGAAUACCAAGGCGCUUGAGAGAACUCGGGUGAAGGAACUAGGCAAAAUGGUGCCGUAACUUCGGGAGAAGGCACGCUGAUAUGUAGGUGAAGCGACUUGCUCGUGGAGCUGAAAUCAGUCGAAGAUACCAGCUGGCUGCAACUGUUUAUUAAAAACACAGCACUGUGCAAACACGAAAGUGGACGUAUACGGUGUGACGCCUGCCCGGUGCCGGAAGGUUAAUUGAUGGGGUUAGCGGUAACGCGAAGCUCUUGAUCGAAGCCCCGGUAAACGGCGGCCGUAACUAUAACGGUCCUAAGGUAGCGAAAUUCCUUGUCGGGUAAGUUCCGACCUGCACGAAUGGCGUAAUGAUGGCCAGGCUGUCUCCACCCGAGACUCAGUGAAAUUGAACUCGCUGUGAAGAUGCAGUGUACCCGCGGCAAGACGGAAAGACCCCGUGAACCUUUACUAUAGCUUGACACUGAACAUUGAGCCUUGAUGUGUAGGAUAGGUGGGAGGCUUUGAAGUGUGGACGCCAGUCUGCAUGGAGCCGACCUUGAAAUACCACCCUUUAAUGUUUGAUGUUCUAACGUUGGCCCCUAAUCGGGGUUGCGGACAGUGUCUGGUGGGUAGUUUGACUGGGGCGGUCUCCUCCUAAAGAGUAACGGAGGAGCACGAAGGUUGGCUAAUCCUGGUCGGACAUCAGGAGGUUAGUGCAAUGGCAUAAGCCAGCUUGACUGCGAGCGUGACGGCGCGAGCAGGUGCGAAAGCAGGUCAUAGUGAUCCGGUGGUUCUGAAUGGAAGGGCCAUCGCUCAACGGAUAAAAGGUACUCCGGGGAUAACAGGCUGAUACCGCCCAAGAGUUCAUAUCGACGGCGGUGUUUGGCACCUCGAUGUCGGCUCAUCACAUCCUGGGGCUGAAGUAGGUCCCAAGGGUAUGGCUGUUCGCCAUUUAAAGUGGUACGCGAGCUGGGUUUAGAACGUCGUGAGACAGUUCGGUCCCUAUCUGCCGUGGGCGCUGGAGAACUGAGGGGGGCUGCUCCUAGUACGAGAGGACCGGAGUGGACGCAUCACUGGUGUUCGGGUUGUCAUGCCAAUGGCACUGCCCGGUAGCUAAAUGCGGAAGAGAUAAGUGCUGAAAGCAUCUAAGCACGAAACUUGCCCCGAGAUGAGUUCUCCCUGAGACUUAGAGUCUCCUGAAGGAACGUUGAAGACGACGACGUUGAUAGGCCGGGUGUGUAAGCGCAGCGAUGCGUUGAGCUAACCGGUACUAAUGAACCGUGAGGCUUAACCUU
Molecule: ribosomal RNA, 2902 nt
Filed under: Escherichia coli HVH 125 (4-2634716)
Lineage: Bacteria; Pseudomonadati; Pseudomonadota; Gammaproteobacteria; Enterobacterales; Enterobacteriaceae
Description: bacterial LSU rRNA
Rfam family: Bacterial large subunit ribosomal RNA
Source: RNAcentral